RNAcentral lists this ribosomal RNA (510 nucleotides) under uncultured bacterium. RNAcentral describes it as "partial 16S ribosomal RNA". It matches the Rfam family "Bacterial small subunit ribosomal RNA", at positions 28 to 507 of the family's 1533-position model. The record is from RNAcentral.
GACGAACGCUGGCGGCGUGCUUAACACAUGCAAGUCGAACGAAAAGCGCUGGACGCUUGCUUCUAUCAAUCUUAGUGGCGAACGGGUGAGUAACGCGUAAUCAACCAGCCCUUCAGAGGGGGACAACAGUUGGAAACGACUGCUAAUACCGCAUACGAUCUAAUCUCGGCAUCGAGGAUAGAUGAAAGGUGGCCUCUACAUGUAAGCUAUCACUGAAGGAGGGUAUUUCGUCGGAUUAGCUAGUUGGUGGGGUAACUGCCAACCAAGGCGAUGAUCAGUAGACGGUCUGAGAGGAGGAACGGCCACAUUGGGACGGAGACACGGCCCAGCAUCCUACGGGAGGCAGCCGUGCGGAACCUUUAGCAAUGGAAGAAAGUCUGACGGAGCAACGCCGCGUGAGUGAUGACGGCCUUCGGGUUGUAUAGCUCUGUUAAUCGGGACGAAAGGAAUUCUUGCUAAUAGUGAGAAGGAUUGACGGUACCGGAAUAGAAAGCCACGGCUAACUACGUG